This 195-nucleotide unclassified non-coding RNA is filed under the name Glomeraceae sp. RNAcentral's name for it is "partial contains 5.8S ribosomal RNA and internal transcribed spacer 2". The stretch from base 1 to 71 matches the Rfam family "5.8S ribosomal RNA", at positions 84 to 154 of the family's 154-position model. The record is from RNAcentral. Lineage: Eukaryota; Fungi; Glomeromycota; Glomeromycetes; Glomerales; Glomeraceae.
GUGAAUCAUCAAAUUUUUGAACGCGAAUUGCACUCUCUGGUAAUCCGGAGAGUAUGCCUGUUUGAGGGUCAGUUUAAAUAAAAAUCUGUGUGGUUGCUGCCUUUCGUGGUGACGCACCGGAUUUGGGUCGUCUUGCCUUCGGUUGAGUGUCCUAAAAUUUUUCAUGUUUUUUUUCGAACGUAUUUAGGUGAUAUU